Molecule: microRNA precursor, 142 nt
Filed under: Gossypium hirsutum (cotton)
Lineage: Eukaryota; Viridiplantae; Streptophyta; Magnoliopsida; Malvales; Malvaceae
Description: MIR7502 microRNA precursor family
Rfam family: MIR7502 microRNA precursor family
Source: Rfam by way of RNAcentral
CAUUAAAAAUCUCAUCCAUUUCUUAUGUUAAAAAUUGGGUUAGCUAACGAAAUAACUAAACAGUUAUACAUAGGUGUCACGUGUACAUCAUGCUGACGUACAUAGAGCAGUUUUUAAUACUAAGGGAAUGGUAUUUUUAAUA